This 65-nucleotide transfer RNA is filed under the name Dipodomys ordii (Ord's kangaroo rat). It matches the Rfam family "tRNA". From Rfam's summary of the family: Transfer RNA (tRNA) molecules are approximately 80 nucleotides in length. Their secondary structure includes four short double-helical elements and three loops (D, anti-codon, and T loops). The record is from Rfam by way of RNAcentral. Lineage: Eukaryota; Metazoa; Chordata; Mammalia; Rodentia; Heteromyidae.
GGUGGCUCAGUGGUAGAGCUCUUGCCUUGCAUGCAUGAGACCCUGGGUUCGAUCCCCCAGCACCA